Coemansia erecta is the source of this 107-nucleotide non-coding RNA. Lineage: Eukaryota; Fungi; Kickxellomycota; Kickxellomycetes; Kickxellales; Kickxellaceae. The record is from the annotation of a GenBank genome assembly.
CCGAAGGUAGCUCAGCGGUAGAGCGGGAGACUGUAGUAUAUGCAUGGUGUAAUAUCGUGAUUCGUGUUGAAAUCUCUAGGUCCCUGGUUCAAAUCCGGGUCUUCGGA